Molecule: ribosomal RNA, 266 nt
Filed under: uncultured archaeon
Lineage: Archaea
Description: partial 16S ribosomal RNA
Rfam family: Archaeal small subunit ribosomal RNA
Source: RNAcentral
ACACGACUACAUUAGAUACCCGUGUAGUCCUAGCCGUAAACGAUACUCGCUAGGUGUCGGCCACGGUGCGACCGUUGUCGGUGCCGUAGGGAAGCCGUGAAGCGAGCCACCUGGGAAGUACGGCCGCAAGGCUGAAACUUAAAGGAAUUGGCGGGGGAGCACAACAACGGGUGGAGCUUGCGGUUUAAUUGGAUUCAACGCCGGAAAUCUUACCGGGACCGACAGCAACAUGAAGGCCAAGCUGAAGACUUUGCCGGAUUUAGCUG